RNAcentral lists this ribosomal RNA (253 nucleotides) under uncultured bacterium. RNAcentral describes it as "partial 16S ribosomal RNA". It matches the Rfam family "Bacterial small subunit ribosomal RNA", at positions 524 to 776 of the family's 1533-position model. The record is from RNAcentral.
CACGUAGGGGCCAAGCGUUGUCCGGAUUUACUGGGCGUAAAGGGCGCGCAGGCGGUUCUGUUUGUCGAGUGUGAAAGCCCCGGGCUCAACCUGGGAACUGCGCUCGAAACGGCGGAACUAGAGUUCGGGAGAGGAGAGUGGAAUUCCCAGUGUAGAGGUGAAAUUCGUAGAUAUCAAGCGGAACACCGGUGGCGAAGGCGGCCUUCUGGACAGUGACUGACGCUGAGACGCGAAAGCGUGGGGAGCAAACAGG